This 496-nucleotide ribosomal RNA is filed under the name uncultured bacterium. RNAcentral's name for it is "partial 16S ribosomal RNA". It matches the Rfam family "Bacterial small subunit ribosomal RNA", at positions 28 to 507 of the family's 1533-position model. The record is from RNAcentral.
GAUGAACGCUGGCGGCGUGCCUAAUACAUGCAAGUCGAGCGAACAGAUAAGGAGCUUGCUCCUUUGACGUUAGCGGCGGACGGGUGAGUAACACGUGGGUAACCUACCUAUAAGACUGGGAUAACUUCGGGAACCCGGAGCUAAUACCGGAUAAAAUUUCAAACCGCAUGGUUCAUUAGGGGAGGUGGGUUUUGCUAUCACUAUUGGAUGGCCCGAGCCGGAUUAGGUAGUUGGUAAGGUAACGGCUUACCAAAGCGACGAUACGUAGCCGACCUGAGAGGGUGAUCGGCCACACUGGAACUGAGACACGGUCCAGACUCCUACGGGAGGCAGCAGUAGGGAAUCUUCCGCAAUGGGCGAAAGCCUGACGGAGCAACGCCGCGUGAGUGAUGAAGGUCUUCGGAUCGUAAAACUCUGUUAUUAGGGAAGAACAUACGUGUAAGUAACUGUGCACGUCUUGACGGUACCUAAUCAGAAAGCCACGGCUAACUACGUG